RNAcentral lists this ribosomal RNA (253 nucleotides) under uncultured bacterium. RNAcentral describes it as "partial 16S ribosomal RNA". It matches the Rfam family "Bacterial small subunit ribosomal RNA", at positions 524 to 776 of the family's 1533-position model. The record is from RNAcentral.
UACGGAGGGUGCAAGCGUUAUCCGGCUUUACUGGGUUUAAAGGGUGUGUAGGCGGGCUAUUAAGUCAGUGGUGAAAUCUCCGGGCUCAACCUGGAAACUGCCAUUGAUACUAUUAGUCUUGAAUUUUGUUGAGGUAGGCGGAAUAAGUCAUGUAGCGGUGAAAUGCAUGGAUAUGACUUAGAACACCAAUUGCGAAGGCAGCUUGCUAAACAAAUAUUGACGCUGAGGCACGAAAGCGUGGGGAGCAAACAGG